GGUUUCGUAGCUCAGCUAGUAGAGCGCUUGCCGCGUAGAGGCAUGAUGUUUCUGUCGCUGGUUCGAAUCCAGCCGAAGCCC
Molecule: transfer RNA, 81 nt
Filed under: Paragonimus heterotremus
Lineage: Eukaryota; Metazoa; Platyhelminthes; Trematoda; Plagiorchiida; Troglotrematidae
Rfam family: tRNA
About the family: Transfer RNA (tRNA) molecules are approximately 80 nucleotides in length. Their secondary structure includes four short double-helical elements and three loops (D, anti-codon, and T loops).
Source: Rfam by way of RNAcentral